GACGAACGCUGGCGGCGUGCUUAACACAUGCAAGUCGAACGGUGAAGGGGUCUGCUUUUGUGGGCCCUGGCUGAGUGGCGAACGGGUGAGUAACACGUGAGUAACCUGCCCCCUUCUUCUGGAUAACCGCAUGAAAGUGUGGCUAAUACGGGAUAUUCUGGGUCUGUCGCAUGAUGGGUCUGGGAAAGAUUGCGCCUUUGGGUGUUUUUGGUGGGGGAUGGGCUCGCGGCCUAUCAGCUUGUUGGUGGGGUGAUGGCCUACCAAGGCGGUGACGGGUAGCCGGCCUGAGAGGGUGGACGGUCACACUGGGACUGAGACACGGCCCAGACUCCUACGGGAGGCAGCAGUGGGGAAUAUUGCACAAUGGGCGCAAGCCUGAUGCAGCGACGCCGCGUGAGGGAUGGAGGCCUUCGGGUUGUAAACCUCUUUCGCCAGUGAAGCAGGCCUGCUCCUUGUGGGUGGGUUGACGGUAGCUGGAGAAGAAGCGCCGGCUAACUACGUG
This 502-nucleotide ribosomal RNA is filed under the name uncultured bacterium. RNAcentral describes it as "partial 16S ribosomal RNA". It matches the Rfam family "Bacterial small subunit ribosomal RNA", at positions 28 to 507 of the family's 1533-position model. The record is from RNAcentral.